GAGUUUGAUCAUGGUUCAGGACGAACGCGGGCGGCGUGCUUAACACAUGCAAGUCGAACGGGAGUAUUGAAGAAGCUUGCUUUAGAGAUACUUUAGUGGCGGACGGGUGAGUAACGCGUGAGGAGCUGUCCUAUGCAGGGGGACAACAGCUGGAAACGGCUGCUAAUACCCCAUAAGCCGAGAGGUAAAAGGAUCAAUCCGGCAGAGGAGGUACUCGCGUCCUAUCAGCUAGUAGGUGAGGUAACGGCUCACCUAGGCGAAGACGGGUAGCCGGCCUGAGAGGGCGAACGGCCACACUGGAACUGAGAUACGGUCCAGACUCCUACGGGAGGCAGCAGUGGGGAAUAUUGGGCAAUGGGGGAAACCCUGACCCAGCGACGCCGCGUGGGUGAAGAAAUCCUUCGGGAUGUAAAGCCCUGUUGUAUGGGAAGAGCGGAAGACGGUACCAUACGAGGAAGCCCCGGCAAACUACGUGCCAGCAGCCGCGGUAAUACGUAGGGGGCAAGCGUUGUCCGGAAUUACUGGGCGUAAAGCGCACGCAGGCUGACUUAUAAGUCGGUAGUCUAAUGCGGAGGCUCAACUUCCGUUUAUCUAUCGAUACUGUAAGACUAGAGUAUGUGAGAGGGAAGCGGAAUUCCCGGUGUAGCGGUGAAAUGCGUAGAUA
This 664-nucleotide ribosomal RNA is filed under the name uncultured Synergistaceae bacterium. RNAcentral describes it as "bacterial SSU rRNA". It matches the Rfam family "Bacterial small subunit ribosomal RNA", at positions 9 to 696 of the family's 1533-position model. Lineage: Bacteria; Thermotogati; Synergistota; Synergistia; Synergistales; Synergistaceae. The record is from RNAcentral.